GACGAACGCUGGCGGCGUGCUUAACACAUGCAAGUCGAGCGGUAAGGCCCUUUCGGGGGUACGACGAGCGGCGAACGGGUGAGUAACACGUGGGUGACCUGCCCUCAGCUCUGGGAUAAGCCUGGGAAACCGGGUCUAAUACCGGAUAUGACUCCAUGACGCAUGUUGUGGGGUGGAAAGCCUUGUGCGGCUGAGGAUGGGCCCGCGGCCUAUCAGCUUGUUGGUGGGGUGAUGGCCACCAAGGCGACGACGGUAG
Molecule: ribosomal RNA, 256 nt
Filed under: uncultured bacterium
Lineage: Bacteria
Description: partial 16S ribosomal RNA
Rfam family: Bacterial small subunit ribosomal RNA
Source: RNAcentral